CCCUCGUAUACACGUAAAUUCUCCACCCCUUCGGAACUAGAUAUCCUGUAAAAGUGAAAUUAACCACAAGGUUAGCGAAAACUAAUACGUGCUCGUUAUUCGUUUACUACAACCUCGUACAUUCGGCCCGAAAAAAACGAGUUUUAUUUGUUGGGUUAACGAGUUUUAUUAUUGCGUUAUAGUUUCUCGGGGAUUUGACAAAGGAAUAAUGUUUGUGUGACUGAUUGGAAAAUGAACACUUAUCCGAAACCAUAGACAAAAUAAUUCCUUUGCACCACAGAUGGGUCAUGAAUCGAAUGUCUUUGUGCUGGAAUGGUAGGUUUUCCAUGUGGAUUUGUGAUAGGGUAGGGCCCAUUUACAAAUUUCAUCUCUUUCUCUAUGAUUGCUCUUAUAUAUAUAUAAUAUAUUAUAUAUAUGUAUAUGUUUAUGUAUAUAAAUUGAGGCAGUAAAAAUUCUGGUUUCUUGAAAUUGUGAAAAGCAUGAGAUGAAUAUGUAAUAAAAUGGAGUUGAUCUUUAAUCAUGGUUGGGCUAAUGAGGGCAAGGAGUGCACCUCUCAUAUGCUUGUGUGCAGAGCCAUGGAUAGCUGCAAUGUUGCAUUUGCCCAAGAUAUCCAACAUUGACUGUGGAUAACCAGGGUGGAACAAAAGGGAGGUCUGAAAAUGACUUGAAGAGAAAUGUGGAUCCUUUGUGGAGAUCCGAUCCUUCGAUAGGGAUUUGACACUACUGCCACUGUUACCCUUUUCCUACAUUUCUAACCCAUUUUCUAAUCAAGGUAAUUAACUGUUUGUUAAUCUCUCUCUCUUUUAUUUAUUUGCAUUUUUUUUUUAAUUUUUAUGUUUAUUAAUUGUUGGAAUUAGGGUAAAUGGUUGCAUGCUUCAUGCUUAAUGUUAAU
Non-coding RNA from Erythranthe guttata (spotted monkey flower), 892 nucleotides. The record is from RefSeq and is a predicted model, not a curated record. Lineage: Eukaryota; Viridiplantae; Streptophyta; Magnoliopsida; Lamiales; Phrymaceae.